Molecule: ribosomal RNA, 2920 nt
Filed under: Streptococcus pneumoniae
Lineage: Bacteria; Bacillati; Bacillota; Bacilli; Lactobacillales; Streptococcaceae
Description: bacterial LSU rRNA
Rfam family: Bacterial large subunit ribosomal RNA
Source: RNAcentral
UUAAGUUAGAAAGGGCGCACGGUGGAUGCCUUGACACUAGGAGUCGAUGAAGGACGGGACUAACGCCGAUAUGCUUCGGGGAGCUGUAAGUAAGCUUUGAUCCGAAGAUUUCCGAAUGGGGAAACCCACCAUACGUAAUGGUAUGGUAUCCUUAUCUGAAUACAUAGGGUAAGGAAGACAGACCCAGGGAACUGAAACAUCUAAGUACCUGGAGGAAGAGAAAGCAAAUGCGAUUUCCUGAGUAGCGGCGAGCGAAACGGAACAUAGCCCAAACCAAGAGGCUUGCCUCUUGGGGUUGUAGGACAUUCUAUACGGAGUUACAAAGGAACGAGGUAGACGAAGCGACCUGGAAAGGUCCGUCGUAGAGGGUAACAACCCCGUAGUCGAAACUUCGUUCUCUCUUGAAUGUAUCCUGAGUACGGCGGAACACGUGAAAUUCCGUCGGAAUCUGGGAGGACCAUCUCCCAAGGCUAAAUACUCCCUAGUGAUCGAUAGUGAACCAGUACCGUGAGGGAAAGGUGAAAAGCACCCCGGAAGGGGAGUGAAAGAGAUCCUGAAACCGUGUGCCUACAAAUAGUCAGAGCCCGUUAAUGGGUGAUGGCGUGCCUUUUGUAGAAUGAACCGGCGAGUUACGAUCCCGUGCGAGGUUAAGCUGAAGAGGCGGAGCCGCAGCGAAAGCGAGUCUGAAUAGGGCGUUUAGUACGUGGUCGUAGACCCGAAACCAGGUGAUCUACCCAUGUCCAGGGUGAAGUUCAGGUAACACUGAAUGGAGGCCCGAACCCACGCACGUUGAAAAGUGCGGGGAUGAGGUGUGGGUAGCGGAGAAAUUCCAAUCGAACCUGGAGAUAGCUGGUUCUCCCCGAAAUAGCUUUAGGGCUAGCCUUAAGUGUAAGAGUCUUGGAGGUAGAGCACUGAUUGGACUAGGGGUCCUCAUCGGAUUACCGAAUUCAGUCAAACUCCGAAUGCCAAUGACUUAUCCUUAGGAGUCAGACUGCGAGUGAUAAGAUCCGUAGUCAAAAGGGAAACAGCCCAGACCGCCAGCUAAGGUCCCAAAGUGUGUAUUAAGUGGAAAAGGAUGUGGAGUUGCUUAGACAACUAGGAUGUUGGCUUAGAAGCAGCCACCAUUUAAAGAGUGCGUAAUAGCUCACUAGUCGAGUGACUCUGCGCCGAAAAUGUACCGGGGCUAAAUACACCACCGAAGCUGCGGAUUGAUACCAAUGGUAUCAGUGGUAGGGGAGCGUUCUAAGGACAGUGAAGUCAGACCGGAAGGACUGGUGGAGUGCUUAGAAGUGAGAAUGCCGGUAUGAGUAGCGAAAGACGGGUGAGAAUCCCGUCCACCGAAUGCCUAAGGUUUCCUGAGGAAGGCUCGUCCGCUCAGGGUUAGUCAGGACCUAAGCCGAGGCCGACAGGCGUAGGCGAUGGACAACAGGUUGAUAUUCCUGUACCACCUCUUUAUCGUUUGAGCAAUGGAGGGACGCAGAAGGAUAGAAGAAGCGUGCGAUUGGUUGUGCACGUCCAAGCAGUUAGGCUGAUAAGUAGGCAAAUCCGCUUAUCGUAAAGGCUGAGCUGUGAUGGGGAAGCUCCUUAUGGAGCGAAGUCUUUGAUUCCCCGCUGCCAAGAAAAGCUUCUAGCGAGAUAAAAGGUGCCUGUACCGCAAACCGACACAGGUAGGCGAGGAGAGAAUCCUAAGGUGUGCGAGAGAACUCUGGUUAAGGAACUCGGCAAAAUGACCCCGUAACUUCGGGAGAAGGGGUGCUUUCUUAACGGAAAGCCGCAGUGAAUAGGCCCAAGCGACUGUUUAGCAAAAACACAGCUCUCUGCGAAGCCGUAAGGCGAAGUAUAGGGGGUGACACCUGCCCGGUGCUGGAAGGUUAAGGAGAGGGGUUAGCGUAAGCGAAGCUCUGAACUGAAGCCCCAGUAAACGGCGGCCGUAACUAUAACGGUCCUAAGGUAGCGAAAUUCCUUGUCGGGUAAGUUCCGACCCGCACGAAAGGUGUAACGAUUUGGGCACUGUCUCAACCAGAGACUCGGUGAAAUUAUAGUACCUGUGAAGAUGCAGGUUACCCGCGACAGGACGGAAAGACCCCGUGGAGCUUUACUGUAGCCUGAUAUUGAAUUUUGGUACAGUUUGUACAGGAUAGGCGGGAGCCAUUGAAACCGGAGCGCUAGCUUCGGUGGAGGCGCUGGUGGGAUACCGCCCUGACUGUAUUGAAAUUCUAACCUACGGGUCUUAUCGACCCGGGAGACAGUGUCAGGUGGGCAGUUUGACUGGGGCGGUCGCCUCCUAAAGUGUAACGGAGGCGCCCAAAGGUUCCCUCAGAAUGGUUGGAAAUCAUUCGUAGAGUGCAAAGGCAUAAGGGAGCUUGACUGCGAGACCUACAAGUCGAGCAGGGACGAAAGUCGGGCUUAGUGAUCCGGUGGUUCCGCAUGGAAGGGCCAUCGCUCAACGGAUAAAAGCUACCCCGGGGAUAACAGGCUUAUCUCCCCCAAGAGUCCACAUCGACGGGGAGGUUUGGCACCUCGAUGUCGGCUCAUCGCAUCCUGGGGCUGUAGUCGGUCCCAAGGGUUGGGCUGUUCGCCCAUUAAAGCGGUACGCGAGCUGGGUUCAGAACGUCGUGAGACAGUUCGGUCCCUAUCCGUCGUGGGCGUAGGAAAUUUGAGAGGAGCUGUCCUUAGUACGAGAGGACCGGGAUGGACGCACCGCUGGUGUACCAGUUGUUCUGCCAAGGGCAUAGCUGGGUAGCUAUGUGCGGAAGGGAUAAGUGCUGAAAGCAUCUAAGCAUGAAGCCCCCCUCAAGAUGAGAUUUCCCAUAGCGUAAGCUAGUAAGAUCCCUGAAAGAUGAUCAGGUUGAUAGGUUCGAGGUGGAAGCAUGGUGACAUGUGGAGCUGACGAAUACUAAUAGAUCGAGGACUUAACCAU